RNAcentral lists this ribosomal RNA (492 nucleotides) under uncultured bacterium. RNAcentral's name for it is "partial 16S ribosomal RNA". It matches the Rfam family "Bacterial small subunit ribosomal RNA", at positions 29 to 507 of the family's 1533-position model. The record is from RNAcentral.
AGUGAACGCUGGCGGGAGGAAGAAAAUAGGAAAGUCGAACGGAAGUAUAGUAAGAGAUUGAUAUUGAGGGUGGAGAGUGGCGUAAGGGUGAGGAAUACAUUGGAAUAUACUUUUUCGUGUGGGAUAACGUAGGGAAACUUACGCUAAUACCGCAUCCGACCUACGGGUGAAAGCAGGGGAUCUUCGGACCUUGCGCGAUUGAAUGAGCCGAUGUCGGAUUAGCUAGUUGGUGGGGUAAAGGCCCACCAAGGCGACGAUCCGUAGCUGGUCUGAGAGGAUGCUCAGCCACAGUGGAACUGAGACACGGUCCAGAAUCCUACGGGAGGAAGCAGUGGGGAAUAUUGGACAAUGAGCGCAAGCCUGAUCCAGCCAUACCGCGUGGGUGAAGAAGGAAUUCGGGUUUUAACUCCCUUUUAUUACGAAAGAAAAGCAGCAGGUUAAUACCCCGCUGUUCUGACGGUACCCAAAGAAUAAGCACCAACUCACUUCGUC